RNAcentral lists this long non-coding RNA (781 nucleotides) under Olea europaea subsp. europaea. Lineage: Eukaryota; Viridiplantae; Streptophyta; Magnoliopsida; Lamiales; Oleaceae. The record is from RNAcentral.
AUUUUCAUUUUCUUAAAAGAUUUUCUUCCCUAUAAUAGGAGAGUCUUCCUUAAGGAUGAGGUCAAGAAAGGUGCUCCUUCAAUGGAAAACACUUCUGAGUUUCACCUCUUCCUUUUUCAAUGAACAAGGAUCUAAUGUUGAAAAUCUUCUUAUGUUGGUUUCUUCAAAACUUUCUCUUGCUCUUUUUUCAAGAAAAAACUUUUACGAAGGGGAAUAAUGUAUGUUUUCAUAUAGGCUUUUUGAUCAUGUGGUACACUUGUUAAAGUAUGGUUUCCUACGAAUGGUGAUAAUCUAUUGACUUUGGAUUCAGCAAAACACGUAGCUGACAGAUCUCUACUCUACUAUCAUCCACGUUUAUGUUACUUGCACAUUUAGACCAAGUGGUAGAUGCACAUGGGCUAUAUCCCUUGGAAUAGGAGAGACAAUCGCGGGCACUGCGACUCUCAAGUCAAUCAACGAUUGAAGGUAAUUUAUUGGGUAUAAGAGAUAAUGACCUCGUGAUAGAUCCUGUUGAAGAGCAAGCAAUCAGUUUGCAAUAUCAUAGUGGCAUUUAGAAUUGCAUUGCCUUUAAAAAAUACUGCUUGUGAGCUUUUCUACUAUGAGAGAAGAGGAGAUGUCCGCUGAAUGGUUGACCUGGGGCCUCAUCCUAAUAGCAAAUGGGUAAGCUGGACAUGUAUCCAUCCUAGUUGUCCUAAGCCUGUAGAUAAGCAAAUGGAUAAGCUUGACAUGCAUGUACCUAGGCAGCUAUGGGCAUAGCGGUGACCAUGCAUAUGGGCGAUCG